This 2086-nucleotide unclassified non-coding RNA is filed under the name Leishmania donovani. Its description in RNAcentral is "gene:LdHU3.34.5150(CDS-product:Alpha-keto-acid_de carboxylase_putative)". The record is from RNAcentral. Lineage: Eukaryota; Euglenozoa; Kinetoplastea; Trypanosomatida; Trypanosomatidae.
CUGUUCAGAGGAGAUUAAUCGGCAAACGCAGACGUAUCUCAGCGAAAAGCAACUCCAUUUCUCUCUGCUCCCCCAGUUUACCUUCUCUCCAGCACACGCGCACGCACGCAGUGUCCUUUGCAGCGUCGCAUCCGCCACCGAAACUUUCGGUCGUCUGAAAUCAGCCACCUCUUUUCGUUGGGCGUUGCAUACUCCACUGCUCCUUUGCCGCCUCAACACUGCGCCAAUGCCGUUCAACGGAUACACGGUUGGCUGCCACCUGCUGGACCGCCUUGUGGAGGCGGGAUGUGACCACCUCUUCGGCGUCCCGGGCGACUUUAAUCUGCGCUUCCUCGAUGAUGUCAUGGCUCACCCACGCAUGAAGUGGGUUGGUACGGCCAACGAGCUGAACGCAGCCUACGCGGCUGACGGCUACGCGCGUCAGCGCGGCCUGGGUGCCGUCGCUACGACCUACGGCGUCGGCGAGCUUUCCGCGCUGAACGGAAUCGCUGGCAGCUUUGCCGAGAGCGUGCCGGUCAUUCACAUUGCCGGAGCCACCUCCACGAAGAGCCAAGGAAACCGCGAACUGCUGCAUCACUCACUCGGCGACGGCAGCCACAUGCACUUCCUAAACAUCAGUGCCGAGGUUUGCUGCAUUGCGGUGAUGCUGACGCCGGAGAACUGCCUGACAGAGAUCGACCGUGUCAUCACGGAGGUGCUUUACCAAAAGAAGCCGGGCUACAUUGCGUUGCCGAUGAAUGUGGCGGAGAUGAUCGUGCCGCCGCCGCCGGCGAAGCUGAUGCGCCGUCUGCCGGAGGUGUCCCUUGAAUCGGUGAGCGCAUUCAAGCACACCGUAGCGUCCCGCCUGCACAGCGCCCGCAGCCCGGCGGUGCUGACAGGGCACUUGAUCCACCGCCACCAGUGCGGUCCGCAGGUGAACCACUUCCUCGAGAACGUCCACAUCCCGUACGCCCCCGCCGUCCUCGGCAAGGGCGCCGUAAAUGAACACCUGGAGAACUACGUCGGCACCUACAUCGCCGGCGAUGAGCCGUGCCCUGCGAAGUCCGUCAUUGAAAGCGCCGACGUGUGCAUCUCGAUUGGCGUCCAGUUUGUCGACACCGUCACCUCGAUCUUCCGUCACAAGAUCGACCCUCUCAAAAUGAUCGACAUACAGCCCUUUUUCGCCAAGGUCGGGGAUCAGGUCUUCUACCAGGUACCAAUGGAGAUGGCCGUAAAGGCGGUCGAAGAAGUCGCGAUGGAAUGCCACGCGAACUGGAGCACCGAGUACCCGGAGCCGGAGGGACUACGUUACCCGGAAAGCCCUGACACCUUUGACCUCUCCCAUGUUUGGCAAGAGAUUAGCAACGGCCUGCAGCCCAACGACGUUCUCCUGGUGGACAUCGGCACGUCCUCUUUUACGUCCGCGUUGCUUCGCUUGCCGCAGGGUUGCGACAUGCUUUGCCAGCAGAUGUGGGCCUCCAUCGGCUACACCCUCCCCGCCGCCAUUGGAGCGCAGAUCGCGGACGAAAGUCGCAGCGUCGUGUGCAUCUUGGGCGAUGGUGCCGCGCAAAUGACGGUGCAGGAGCUCGGCUCGGCGGCGCGCUACAAGCUCAAGCCUAAAUAUAUCCUUAUCAACAAUGACGGCUACACCAUCGAGCGCUACAUACGCGGCUGGGACUCGUCGUACAACGACAUCUCCGUGUGGAACUGGACAGGCUUGGCGCGCAACUUCUGCAAGGGCGUUGAGCCGCGCACGUGUGUCGUGAACUCUGUCGGCGGUGUAGAAGCGGUGCUUCGCGAGAAGCAGGACAACAUGGUAUUUGCUGAAGUGCUUGUCGGUAAAUAUGAGGGCCCUCUGCGCUCUUCAGUGCCGCUUCCGCGCAAGCCAGCAAGCAAGGAGAGGGAGGCACUCGAUUUUCAAAGAAGAGAGAGUAAAAGUGAAGGGAGUGGUGUGGACGCUGAGACGAUGAUGAUGGCAUCAAAGACGCUAUUGACUUGAAGAGUAUUCUGUGCGUACCCGUUAAGGUGGCUCAGUGCCUCUCCACAGAUGAGGCUCCAUGAAACCACCCUCAGAGUCCCCCUCCUCCAGUAUUCCUGCCUUUAUUGC